GAUGAACGCUGGCGGCGUGCCUAAUACAUGCAAGUCGAGCGAACAGACGAGGAGCUUGCUCCUCUGACGUUAGCGGCGGACGGGUGAGUAACACGUGGAUAACCUACCUAUAAGACUGGGAUAACUUCGGGAAACCGGAGCUAAUACCGGAUAAUAUAUUGAACCGCAUGGUUCAAUAGUGAAAGACGGUUUUGCUGUCACUUAAAGAUGGAUCCGCGCCGCAUUAGCUAGUUGGUAAGGUAACGGCUUACCAAGGCAACGAUGCGUAGCCGACCUGAGAGGGUGAUCGGCCACACUGGAACUGAGACACGGUCCAGACUCCUACGGGAGGCAGCAGUAGGGAAUCUUCCGCAAUGGGCGAAAGCCUGACGGAGCAACGCCGCGUGAGUGAUGAAGGUCUUCGGAUCGUAAAACUCUGUUAUUAGGGAAGAACAAAUGUGUAAGUAACUAUGCACGUCUUGACGGUACCUAAUCAGAAAGCCGCGGCUAACUACGUG
RNAcentral lists this ribosomal RNA (497 nucleotides) under uncultured bacterium. Its description in RNAcentral is "partial 16S ribosomal RNA". It matches the Rfam family "Bacterial small subunit ribosomal RNA", at positions 28 to 507 of the family's 1533-position model. The record is from RNAcentral.